UGAAACACGGACCAAGGAGUCUAACAUAUGCGCGAGCUAAUGGGUGGAAAACCCAAAGGCGCAAUAAAAGUAAAAGCUGUUUCGGACAGCCGAGGUACGAUCCUAGGAUCCGAGCGAUACUAGGCGCAGUACCGUCCCGUCCCGACCGCAUAUCGGUAGGGCGGAGAUAGAGUGCAUACGUUGGGACCCGAAAGAUGGUGAACUAUGCCUGAGCAGAGCGAAGCCAGAGGAAACUCUGGUGGAGGUUCGUAGCGGUUCUGACGUGCAAAUCGAUCGUCAGACUUGGGUAUAGGGGCGAAAGACUAAUCGAACCAUCUAGUAGCUGGUUCCCCCUGAAGUUUCCCUCAGGAUAGCUGAUACUCGUUAAAAAACGAAGUUUUAUCCGGUAAAGCGAAUGAUUAGAGGCAUUGGGGACGAAAUGACCUCAACCUAUUCUCAAACUUUAAAUGGGUAAGAAGUCGAGCUUGCUCGAUCGAAGCCCGACUAAAGAAUUCGAGUAUCAGUGGGCCAUUUUUGGUAAGCA
RNAcentral lists this ribosomal RNA (523 nucleotides) under Dorylaimus stagnalis. Its description in RNAcentral is "eukaryotic LSU rRNA". It matches the Rfam family "Eukaryotic large subunit ribosomal RNA", at positions 655 to 1146 of the family's 3401-position model. The record is from RNAcentral. Lineage: Eukaryota; Metazoa; Nematoda; Enoplea; Dorylaimida; Dorylaimidae.